RNAcentral lists this long non-coding RNA (863 nucleotides) under Olea europaea subsp. europaea. The record is from RNAcentral. Lineage: Eukaryota; Viridiplantae; Streptophyta; Magnoliopsida; Lamiales; Oleaceae.
GUUGAAGACAUAGAUCAUCUGAAAGAGGACCAGAAUGUUGGUUAUAUUCUCAACUUGCAACAGGACAGAGAAGUGGGGAAUCGACCUACUAUCUUGAUAAGUGUGUUUUUACACACUUAUUUAGAUCACAAACAUGACUUAAUUACGAGCAAAAUGAUUGAAUUGUGACUUAAUUUCGUUACAUUUGUGAAUUGUAGGGAACAUCGAUGAACAUGGUGAAAUUCAUGAGAAAAGACGCGAAAAAGGACUAAAAUGACACAAAGUGAAAGUUCAAGGACCAAGGUGCAAUUACCCAAAAGUUGACACGAUGAACAAAUCAAGGAAUUGAUUGAACCAAAUGCCAAUUGAUGAUGUCUUGGGAUGAUGGAAUGGAAAGAGUGAAGAAAAGAGGCCUGGAAGUGAAAGAUUCAAGUAAAGGGACUAAAUUGAAGAGAAUAGAAGUUGGAAUCUACCAUGCGGCCGCAUGGUAGAACUCCCGUGCAGCCGCACGAUUGAAUGCAGGAAUUUUUAUCGAAACAUGGAAUAGCCAUGCGGCCGCACGGAUUUAAAUCAUGGGGUCGUAUGGUAGUCUUUCCGAUGCGAAAUUUUCUUUCCUUAAACGAUUAAAACUCUUUUGGUAACCUAAUAUUUAGGGGAUAUAAACAUAAAAAAAGGUCCAGAAACGACGAGAACGCAUUGGGAGGCAGAAAAACACUUCUUGAAGAGGAUUUGGAGCGCAAGAACGAAGAUUGACUAUUAGAAUUUCAAGAUUUCUUCAAGCUUUUAUAAUCCGGUGAUACUUAUUACUCAAAACCUGAUGUAUUUUGUUAUUUUAACCAUGCUAGGCUAGAUUUUCAUGUACUAGGAGAUCGAUGAACCAUGUA